This is a long non-coding RNA of Strigops habroptila (Kakapo), 139 nucleotides long. RefSeq lists it as uncharacterized. Lineage: Eukaryota; Metazoa; Chordata; Aves; Psittaciformes; Psittacidae. The record is from RefSeq and is a predicted model, not a curated record. The transcript has 3 exons.
UUGGCUGCAGUGAUCACGAGAAAGUAGAGUUCGAGAUCCUCAGGUCAGCAAGAAGGGCACACAGCAAGUUCACUGCCCUGGAUUUCAAGAGAGCAUAUUUUGGCCUCUUCAGGAACCUGCUCGGUGAAAUGUAAGAAAU